This 910-nucleotide ribosomal RNA is filed under the name uncultured bacterium. Its description in RNAcentral is "bacterial SSU rRNA". It matches the Rfam family "Bacterial small subunit ribosomal RNA", at positions 9 to 891 of the family's 1533-position model. The record is from RNAcentral.
GAGUUUGAUCAUGGCUCAGGAUGAACGUUGGCGGCGUGCCUAAUACAUGCAAGUCGAACGGUCUUUUCUAUGGAAGUUUGCUUCCACUGAGAAGAUAGUGGCGAACGGGUGAGUAACACGUGGGUAACCUGCCCAUAAGAGGGGGAUAACAUCCGGAAACGGGUGCUAAUACCGCAUAGUUUUCUUGAUCGCAUGAUCGGGAAAGGAAAGACGGCCUUUGUGCUGUCGCUUAUGGAUGGACCCGCGGCGUAUUAGUUAGUUGGUGAGGUAACGGCUCACCAAGACGAUGAUACGUAGCCGACCUGAGAGGGUGAUCGGCCACAUUGGGACUGAGACACGGCCCAAACUCCUACGGGAGGCAGCAGUAGGGAAUCUUCCGCAAUGGACGAAAGUCUGACGGAGCAACGCCGCGUGAGUGAAGAAGGUUUUCGGAUCGUAAAACUCUGUUGUCAGAGAAGAACAAGUUGGAGAGUAACUGCUCCAGCCUUGACGGUAUCUGACCAGAAAGCCACGGCUAACUACGUGCCAGCAGCCGCGGUAAUACGUAGGUGGCAAGCGUUGUCCGGAUUUAUUGGGCGUAAAGCGAGCGCAGGCGGUUCCUUAAGUCUGAUGUGAAAGCCCACGGCUCAACCGUGGAAGGUCAUUGGAAACUGGGGAACUUGAGUGCAGAAGAGGAGAGUGGAAUUCCAUGUGUAGCGGUGAAAUGCGUAGAUAUAUGGAGGAACACCAGUGGCGAAGGCGACUCUCUGGUCUGUAACUGACGCUGAGGCUCGAAAGCGUGGAGAGCAAACAGGAUUAGAUACCCUGGUAGUCCACGCCGUAAACGAUGAGUGCUAAGUGUUGGAGGGUUUCCACCCUUCAGUGCUGCAGCUAACGCAUUAAGCACUCCGCCUGGGGAGUACGGCCGCAA